RNAcentral lists this ribosomal RNA (497 nucleotides) under uncultured bacterium. RNAcentral's name for it is "partial 16S ribosomal RNA". It matches the Rfam family "Bacterial small subunit ribosomal RNA", at positions 28 to 507 of the family's 1533-position model. The record is from RNAcentral.
GAUGAACGCUGGCGGCGUGCCUAAUACAUGCAAGUCGAGCGAACAGACGAGGAGCUUGCUCCUCUGACGUUAGCGGCGGACGGGUGAGUAACACGUGGAUAACCUACCUAUAAGACUGGGAUAACUUCGGGAAACCGGAGCUAAUACCGGAUAAUAUAUUGAACCGCAUGGUUCAAUAGUGAAAGACGGCUUUGCUGUCACUUAUAGAUGGAUCCGCGCCGCAUUAGCUAGUUGGUAAGGUAACGGCUUACCAAGGCAACGAUGCGUAGCCGACCUGAGAGGGUGAUCAGCCACACUGGAACUGAGACACGGUCCAGACUCCUACGGGAGGCAGCAGUAGGGAAUCUUCCGCAAUGGGCGAAAGCCUGACGGAGCAACGCCGCGUGAGUGAUGAAGGUCUUCGGAUCGUAAAACUCUGUUAUUAGGGAAGAACAGAUGUGUAAGUAACUAUGCACGUCUUGACGGUACCUAAUCAGAAAGCCACGGCUAACUACGUG